Halichondria panicea is the source of this 994-nucleotide long non-coding RNA. RefSeq lists it as uncharacterized. Lineage: Eukaryota; Metazoa; Porifera; Demospongiae; Suberitida; Halichondriidae. The transcript has 3 exons. The record is from RefSeq and is a predicted model, not a curated record.
CUAAAAAAGACAAGUAGCUAUCCAGAAUUUUUACACACAAAACAUAUUAAAAAUCGUGGGCGUGGCUGCGUUUUAGCUGAUUCAGCAAUAAUUGAAGGUCCCCAGUCCUUAAUAUCUUAAUAUACCUGAGAAAGUUCCAAACCUUAGCCGGAAACCGUUGGCCUUUUCUCUCCCUAACCGAUAACAUAACCGAUAACAAUUGGGUACUGUUUUAUUAAUCACCACAAACCCACCACCUUAUGUUGUCAUGGAAACAAUGUUGUAGCUUAUUCAUUCGCCUACACAAUAGUAUCAGCAGAUUUUCUUAGAAUCAUAAGAUAUUUACAUUUAAGUACAACUACUCACACAUUAAAUAUUUUUUGGUAUUCUACUCUUUAGACUGGAUGCACUUUCUAUGUGAUGGUUCUAAUUUCUACUAAGAUUGAUAGACUAGCAGGAGACUCUCUAAAAAUAGUCAUUGCCUCUAUAAUGAUAUUAGUGAUAUAGAAUGACGCGCGGGCAAUCUCGUCGGGUUGUUAGCUUUACAAUGGGUGGGUUGUUAGCUUUAGUGGGCUUUACAAUGGAGCUUUACAAAGGGGUGGGUUGUUUGGUAUGCUAACAACAAUGAUAGUUACAUUUACACAUCUGAAUGUUUUGACAAUGAUAGGUUGUUACCAAAACAAAUUGGUAAUUACAGUGUGUAGGAGAUUUAGUGAAGUUUGUCUCAGAAACAUUGGAAACAAAGACACGAGCAUUGCUAUUUGCAAACGGAAUCAGCAAGUUUUCAGGAUCGUUCCAUCAGCAAUUACAGUACUAUCGCAGCCACUUCAAUUUUGUAGUGAUGGACUCAUCCAAGUGAAGAACUCCUUGGUGACUACUGCAAGCAAUUUCAUGAGAAUGAACUCUUCUCAACAGGAUCCAGUAGCACUUCAGAUUAAUCUCUACUACGACGAGCUUGAACUUUGCAACCCAUUGGGUUCACGGCGGAAAAAGCACAAAAUAGGGGCAUUCUAUU